GAUGAAAAUCGCAUUCCAUAUGGAGUAGCCCCCAAGCCUUAGGUUGAAUCAAAGAAUUAGGCUAAGGGUCAAUCAGCAUUUCCUCUGUCUUUGUCUUGAUCUUGAAGAAAAAGAAAUUUUUAGCCAACGGGCACGGUAUACGCAGCCCUUGAGCUGUUACACAACUUGUUUCAGGCGGUAUACGAGUCAUUCAACAGUCACCGUGACCUUUCAGUUUCCA
Molecule: long non-coding RNA, 220 nt
Filed under: Setaria italica (foxtail millet)
Lineage: Eukaryota; Viridiplantae; Streptophyta; Magnoliopsida; Poales; Poaceae
Description: long non-coding RNA (SITA_LNC002077)
Source: RNAcentral